Molecule: ribosomal RNA, 500 nt
Filed under: uncultured bacterium
Lineage: Bacteria
Description: partial 16S ribosomal RNA
Rfam family: Bacterial small subunit ribosomal RNA
Source: RNAcentral
AUUGAACGCUGGCGGAAUGCUUUACACAUGCAAGUCGAACGGCAGCACGGGGGCAACCCUGGUGGCGAGUGGCGAACGGGUGAGUAAUACAUCGGAACGUGCCCAGUCGUGGGGGAUAACGUAGCGAAAGUUACGCUAAUACCGCAUACGAUCUACGGAUGAAAGCGGGGGACCGUAAGGCCUCGCGCGAUUGGAGCGGCCGAUGUCAGAUUAGGUAGUUGGUGAGGUAAAGGCUCACCAAGCCGACGAUCUGUAGCUGGUCUGAGAGGACGACCAGCCACAGUGGGACUGAGCCACGGCCCAGACUCCUACGGGAGGCAGCAGUGGGGAAUUUUGGACAAUGGGCGCAAGCCUGAUCCAGCCAUUCCGCGUGCAGGACGAAGGCCUUCGGGUUGUAAACUGCUUUUGUACGGAACGAAAAGGCUCUGGUUAAUACCUGGGGCUCAUGACGGUACCGUAAGAAUAAGCACCGGCUAACUACGUGCCAGCAGCCGCCGUAA